UACGUAGGGUGCAAGCGUUGUCCGGAAUUAUUGGGCGUAAAGGGUGCGUAGGCGGCGCGGUAAGUCGGGUGUGAAAUCUCGGAGCUUAACUCCGAAACUGCAUUCGAUACUGCCGUGCUUGAGGACUGGAGAGGAGACUGGAAUUUACGGUGUAGCGGUGAAAUGCGUAGAUAUCGUAAGGAAGACCAGUGGCGAAGGCGGGUCUCUGGACAGUACCUGACGCUGAGGCACGAAGGUCAGGGGAGCAAACGGG
Molecule: ribosomal RNA, 253 nt
Filed under: uncultured bacterium
Lineage: Bacteria
Description: partial 16S ribosomal RNA
Rfam family: Bacterial small subunit ribosomal RNA
Source: RNAcentral